This 393-nucleotide ribosomal RNA is filed under the name uncultured bacterium. RNAcentral describes it as "bacterial SSU rRNA". It matches the Rfam family "Bacterial small subunit ribosomal RNA", at positions 28 to 422 of the family's 1533-position model. The record is from RNAcentral.
GACGAACGCUGGCGGCGUGCUUAACACAUGCAAGUCGAGCGGUAAGGCCCUUUCGGGGGUACACGAGCGGCGAACGGGUGAGUAACACGUGGGUGACCUGCCCUCAGCUCUGGGAUAAGCCUGGGAAACCGGGUCUAAUACUGGAUAUGACUCCAUGACGCAUGUUGUGGGGUGGAAAGCCUUGUGCGGCUGAGGAUGGGCCCGCGGCCUAUCAGCUUGUUGGUGGGGUGACGGCCUACCAAGGCGACGACGGGUAGCCGGCCUGAGAGGGCGACCGGCCACACUGGGACUGAGACACGGCCCAGACUCCUACGGGAGGCAGCAGUGGGGAAUCUUGCGCAAUGGGCGAAAGCCUGACGCAGCGACGCCGCGUGAGGGAUGACGGCCUGGUGU